This 492-nucleotide ribosomal RNA is filed under the name Bacillus mojavensis. Its description in RNAcentral is "bacterial SSU rRNA". It matches the Rfam family "Bacterial small subunit ribosomal RNA", at positions 16 to 492 of the family's 1533-position model. Lineage: Bacteria; Bacillati; Bacillota; Bacilli; Caryophanales; Bacillaceae. The record is from RNAcentral.
AUCCUGGCUCAGGACGAACGCUGGCGGCGUGCCUAAUACAUGCAAGUCGAGCGGACAGAUGGGAGCUUGCUCCCUGAUGUUAGCGGCGGACGGGUGAGUAACACGUGGGUAACCUGCCUGUAAGACUGGGAUAACUCCGGGAAACCGGGGCUAAUACCGGAUGCUUGUUUGAACCGCAUGGUUCAAACAUAAAAGGUGGCUUCGGCUACCACUUACAGAUGGACCCGCGGCGCAUUAGCUAGUUGGUGAGGUAACGGCUCACCAAGGCAACGAUGCGUAGCCGACCUGAGAGGGUGAUCGGCCACACUGGGACUGAGACACGGCCCAGACUCCUACGGGAGGCAGCAGUAGGGAAUCUUCCGCAAUGGACGAAAGUCUGACGGAGCAACGCCGCGUGAGUGAUGAAGGUUUUCGGAUCGUAAAGCUCUGUUGUUAGGGAAGAACAAGUACCGUUCGAAUAGGGCGGUACCUGACGGUACCAACCAGAAAGCC